RNAcentral lists this non-coding RNA (32 nucleotides) under Rattus norvegicus (Norway rat). The record is from RNAcentral. Lineage: Eukaryota; Metazoa; Chordata; Mammalia; Rodentia; Muridae.
UGGAUCUACGACCCACAUUCCAGGUCUACAGC